GAAGCGAGACGGAGACGUUAAGCGAACCCAAAAAAGUAAGUCUCAGUUCGGAUUGAAGGCUGAAAUUCGCCUUCAUGAAGCCGGAAUCGCUAGUAAUGGCAGGUCAGCAUACUGCCGUGAAUACGUUCCCGGGCCUUGUACACACCGCCCGUCACACCAUGAGAGUUGAGAAUACCCGAAGCCCAUGUCAAAGUGGUCGAAGGUAGGCUUGAUGAUUGGGGUGAAGUCGUAACAAGGUACC
RNAcentral lists this ribosomal RNA (241 nucleotides) under uncultured bacterium. RNAcentral describes it as "partial 16S ribosomal RNA". It matches the Rfam family "Bacterial small subunit ribosomal RNA", at positions 1246 to 1500 of the family's 1533-position model. The record is from RNAcentral.